CAGGGUAAAGCUGAUCUGCCCUGGGUAAGUCGGGGCCUAAGGUGAGGACGAGAGUCGUAGCCGAUGGACAACAGGUGGAGAUUCCUGUACUAUGAUAUGACAGAACUGUGGGGACACGUGCAGAGAGCGGAAGCCGGGAAUGGGAUCCCGGUGCAAGCGAGGUACCAGCCGCAUUGGAAAAACCGUGCGGCAAUGGGAAGACGUGAUGCAGAGUGAAGUUUAGUAAUGAGGUCCGUGAGCUGUGCGUCAAGAAAAGCCGCUAUUGUUCAUACCAUACCCGUACCGUAAACCGACACAGGUGGAUGAGGAGAGAAUCCUAAGGCCGGCGGAAGAAGCAUUGUCAAGGAACUCGGCAAAAUGACCCCGUAACUUCGGGAGAAGGGGUGCCUGCGAGAGCAGGCCGCAGAGAAUAGGCUCAAGCAACUGUUUAGCAAAAACACAGGUCUAUGCGAAACCGAAAGGUGAGGUAUAUGGGCUGACGCCUGCCCGGUGCUGGAAGGUUAAGAGGAGAGGUUAGCGGUAACGCGAAGCUUUGAAUUUAAGCCCCAGUAAACGGCGGCCGUAACAAUAACGGUCCUAAGGUAGCGAAAUUCCUUGUCGGGUAAGUUCCGACCCGCACGAAAGGCGUAAUGAUUUGAGCGCUGUCUCGACAAUGCAUCCGGUGAAAUUGAAGUACCAGUGAAGAUGCUGGUUACCUGCGCCAGGACGGAAAGACCCCAUGGAGCUUUACUCCAGAUUGGUACUGGGAUCCGGUACUGCAUGUACAGGAUAGGUGGGAGGCUAUGAAUCGGUAACGCCAGUUGCCGAGGAGCCGCUGUUGGGAUACCACCCUUGCAGUAUUGGGUUUCUAACCAGCCGCCGUGACCCGGCGGUGGGACAAUGCCAGACGGGGAGUUUGACUGGGGCGGUCGCCUCCGAAAGGGUAUCGGAGGCGCCCAAAGGUUCCCUCAGGAUGGACGGAAACCAUCCAAAGAGUGCAAAGGCAGAAGGGAGCUUGACUGCGACACCGACGGGUGGAGCAGGUACGAAAGUAGGGCUUAGUGAUCCGGUGGUAUUAAGUGGGAAUGCCAUCGCUCAACGGAUAAAAGCUACCCUGGGGAUAACAGGCUUAUCACUCCCAAGAGUUCACAUCGACGGAGUGGUUUGGCACCUCGAUGUCGGCUCAUCGCAUCCUGGGGCUGUAGUAGGUCCCAAGGGUUGGGCUGUUCGCCCAUUAAAGCGGUACGCGAGCUGGGUUCAGAACGUCGUGAGACAGUUCGGUCCCUAUCCGGCGUGGGCGUAGGAUAUCUGAGAGGAGCUGUCCUUAGUACGAGAGGACCGGGAUGGACGGGCCGCUGGUGCACCGGUUAGACUGCCAAGUCUAUAGCCGGGUAGCCAAGCCCGGAAGGGAUAAACGCUGAAGGCAUCUAAGCGUGAAGCCCCCCUCAAGAUGAGAUAUCCCAUCCGAAAGGAGUAAACCCCCUUGAAGACGACGAGGUUGAUAGGGCAGAGGUGGAAGUGUGGUAACACAUGGAGCUGACUGCUACUAAUAGGGUGAGGGCUUGACC
RNAcentral lists this ribosomal RNA (1547 nucleotides) under metagenome. RNAcentral describes it as "bacterial LSU rRNA". It matches the Rfam family "Bacterial large subunit ribosomal RNA", at positions 1355 to 2925 of the family's 2925-position model. The record is from RNAcentral.